Long non-coding RNA from Magallana angulata, 1420 nucleotides. RefSeq lists it as uncharacterized. The record is from RefSeq and is a predicted model, not a curated record. The transcript has 2 exons. NCBI's taxonomy places the organism in Eukaryota, Metazoa, Mollusca, Bivalvia, Ostreida, Ostreidae.
AAUGUAGAAUAACACGUAGCACGGAUAUUACGGAUGUCGUUAUGGCUUGUUUAUAACAGUUUUCUUUGGAAAAUCGAAACAGACAUGAGGAAACUCAAGUAUUCAACCCAUGUUAUAAACAGGCACGAACUAAUGCACUAAAUGGUUAACCCACAUUCAAGUUUGAUACCAAGAUUAAUUUAAAUUUUCUUUGAUAUAAAGAAACAUCCACGGAGGGAUUUACAUGUUUAGCAGGUUGGAUGGUCAUCAAAUUGCCCAUCGGAUCAACCAUAAGAUUUUAGAAAUGAUUUUUAAGCCAUGAACUAUUAUUUAUGGAUGAAAAACCCAAAUAUUUUAGUUAUAAAAUUUAAAUGUUUUCCUAUAUAUCACUAUACAGAGCUCUUUGUCUCAAAGAGAUAAAUAUAGUCCUAAAAUGGCCACGACAUUCCAGCCGUUUUAAGAUUGCAAAGUUUGCAUAUUAUUAAUACAAAAGAGACUGACUUUCAUUGAUGGUUUUCAUGCAGGUACAAGAAACAUCCCACGCCACAGAGAUACCUUCUGAAGCAGGAGAGUCCAGCCGCCCAAACAGAUAUCCGGGUAUUCUUGCCUUCCGGGUUCUUCAAUGAUUCAUGCAGAUCCCUGCACGCUAGAGUUUUGUCAUCACGUGACUGUAACAGCAUGACGUCAUACUUGACCGUGUGUGUGAAUGAACACUGUAGUGUAGCCAGUCAUAUUUUGAAUGCAUAGUCAAAAAUAAUCAAAAGUGAGUAGGAAAAAACACAUGAACAUUAUUCUGAUUCCUACCUACGCUGGAGAGAUUUGGUAUCAGUUUGACGUUGCAGGUAUGAUCAGGUUUUCCCAAUAAUCUAACCAAGGAGGUCUAUUUCCGUUUCGAAGUAAGUGACACACAACUAAAGAACAUGCACGUACGCAUAACAUUUUACUUAACGUCUAGUACCUUUAUGUACGCGUGCAUUUGUAAUAAUUCUAUAUUUUCUACAUUUCAUUUCUUACCAACGAUGAUAGUAAUUGAAAUCCCAAAACCAAUGGUAAAACAGUGUGAUCUCUUUUUCUUUUUGCAGUAAAGUUCAUAUCGUGUUUGGCCUUCAUCGCCAUUCAAGUAAUCAAAUUGGUAAUCUAAUAUCUAAAUAGGAGCAAACAAAGUUUUUAUGAUAUCUGACAAUGCUGAAGCAAACGAGGUUUAUAUAUUUGAAACUUUCCAUUUUGGUUGCUUAACGUAGGGGACUGUAAGACGUGGAUCUAUAAGGUAAGAAAGUAAAACAAAUGUGUAAUAACUGGCAUAUACGUCAGAUUAUUUUAUCAAAUAUGAGACAAAGAGAGACAAACAGUUUUAAGGUAAGAACAACCAUCUACUUAAAUGUAUUAUGCAUCUUGAUCUGUGUACAUGAAAGUGAAACGAAUAAAACAAUCAUUGCCAAUA